UGGGGAAUUUUGGACAAUGGGCGCAAGCCUGAUCCAGCCAUGCCGCGUGCGGGAAGAAGGCCUUCGGGUUGUAAACCGCUUUUGGCAGGAACGAAACGGCGCGAGCUAAUACCUCGCGUUAAUGACGGUACCUGCAGAAUAAGCACCGGCUAACUACGUGCCAGCAGCCGCGGUAAUACGUAGGGUGCGAGCGUUAAUCGGAAUUACUGGGCGUAAAGCGUACGCAGGCGGCUUGGUAAGACAGGUGUGAAAUCCCCGGGCUUAACCUGGGAACUGCAUUUGUGACUGCCUGGCUAGAGUCCGUUAGAGGGGGGUGGAAUUCCACGUGUAGCAGUGAAAUGCGUAGAGAUGUGGAGGAACACCGAUGGCGAAGGCAGCCCCCUGGGACAGGACUGACGCUCAUGUACGAAAGCGUGGGGAGCAAACAGGAUUAGAUACCCCCGUAGUCC
Molecule: ribosomal RNA, 449 nt
Filed under: uncultured bacterium
Lineage: Bacteria
Description: bacterial SSU rRNA
Rfam family: Bacterial small subunit ribosomal RNA
Source: RNAcentral